CGCACAUUGCGCCCUUUGGUAUUCCUUAGGGCAUGCCUGUUCGAGCGUCAUUUAAACCCUCAAGCUCUGCUUGGUGUUGGGUGUCUGUCUUGCCUCUGGCAUGGACUCGCCUUGAAAACAUUGGCGGUUGUGUAUCGACUGGAAGCGCAGCAAAAGCGUCCUUUCUAGCCCGGUGCCCUCCCUCCAGGAAGCCAACCUCAAUCAUCUUGACCUCGGAUCAGGUAGGGAUACCCGCUGAACUUAA
This 244-nucleotide unclassified non-coding RNA is filed under the name fungal sp. Its description in RNAcentral is "partial contains 5.8S ribosomal RNA, internal transcribed spacer 2, and large subunit ribosomal RNA". The record is from RNAcentral. Lineage: Eukaryota; Fungi.